This 253-nucleotide ribosomal RNA is filed under the name uncultured bacterium. RNAcentral describes it as "partial 16S ribosomal RNA". It matches the Rfam family "Archaeal small subunit ribosomal RNA", at positions 474 to 727 of the family's 1478-position model. The record is from RNAcentral.
UACCAGCACCCCGAGUGGUCGGGACGAUUAUUGGGCCUAAAGCAUCCGUCGCCGGUCCUACAAGUCUUCCGUUAAAUCCACCUGCUUAACAGAUGGGCUGCGGAAGAUACUAUAGGGCUAGGAGGCGGGAGAGGCAAGCGGUACUCAGUGGGUAGGGGUAAAAUCCUCUGAUCCAUUGAAGACCACCAGUGGCGAAGGCGGCUUGCCAGAACGCGCUCGACGGUGAGGGAUGAAAGCUGGGGGAGCAAACCGG